AUUGAACGCUGGCGGCAUGCCUUACACAUACAAGUCGAACGGCAGCACGGGAGCAAUCCUGGUGGCGAGUGGCGAACGGGUGAGUAAUAUAUCGGAACGUGCCCAGUCGUGGGGGAGUAACGUAGCGAAAGCUACGCUAAUACCGCAUACGAUCUAUGGAUGAAAGCGGGGGAGUCGCAAGACCUCGCGCGAUUGGAGCGGCCGAUAUCAGAUUAGCUAGUUGGUGGGGUAAAAGCUCACCAAGGCGACGAUCUGUAGCUGGUCUGAGAGGACGACCAGCCACACUGGAACUGAGACACGGUCCAGACUCCUACGGGAGGCAGCAGUGGGGAAUAUUGGACAAUGGGCGCAAGCCUGAUCCAGCCAUACCGCGUGGGUGAAGAAGGCCUUCGGGUUGUAAAGCCCUUUUGUUGGGAAAGAAAUCCUAUCGGUUAAUAACCGGUGGGGAUGACGGUACCCAAAGAAUAAGCACCGGCUAACUUCGUG
RNAcentral lists this ribosomal RNA (486 nucleotides) under uncultured bacterium. RNAcentral describes it as "bacterial SSU rRNA". It matches the Rfam family "Bacterial small subunit ribosomal RNA", at positions 30 to 507 of the family's 1533-position model. The record is from RNAcentral.